AAUCGGGGGGGAAAACCCUGAUGCAGCCAUGCCGCGUGUGUGAAGAAGGCCUUCGGGGUUGUAAAGCACUUUCAGUAGGGGAGGAAGGUAGUGUAGUUAAACACCUGCAUUAUUUGACGUUACCUACAGAAGAAGCACCGGCUAACUCCGUGCCAGCAGCCGCGGUAAUACGGAGGGUGCGAGCGUUAAUCGGAAUUACUGGGCGUAAAGCGCAUGCAGGCGGCCUGUUAAGUCAGAUGUGAAAGCCCGGGGCUUAACCUCGGAAUUGCAUUUGAAACUGGCAGGCUAGAGUCUUGUAGAGGGGGGUAGGAAUUUCAGGUGUAGCGGUGAAAUGCGUAGAGAUCUGAAGGAAUACCAGUGGCGAAGGCGGCCCCCUGGACAAAGACUGACGCUCAGACUGCGAAAGCGUGGGGAGCCAAACAGGAUUAGAUACCCUGGUAG
RNAcentral lists this ribosomal RNA (441 nucleotides) under uncultured bacterium. RNAcentral's name for it is "bacterial SSU rRNA". It matches the Rfam family "Bacterial small subunit ribosomal RNA", at positions 369 to 793 of the family's 1533-position model. The record is from RNAcentral.